This 693-nucleotide ribosomal RNA is filed under the name uncultured bacterium. RNAcentral describes it as "bacterial SSU rRNA". It matches the Rfam family "Bacterial small subunit ribosomal RNA", at positions 56 to 749 of the family's 1533-position model. The record is from RNAcentral.
UGCAGUCGAGUGCGCGUUCCUGUAGCAAUACAGGAAUGGCGCACGGCGCACGGGUGCGUAACACGUGGGUAAUCUGCCCUCUGAUGGGGAAUAACCCGCCGAAAGGCGGGCUAAUACCGCAUAACAUUCCUUGGACUCCGGUUCGAGGAUUCAAAGGCGCAAGUCGUCGGAGGUGGAGCCCGCGCACGAUUAGCUAGUUGGUAGGGUAAUGGCCUACCAAGGCUGUGAUCGUUAGCUGGUCUGAGAGGAUGGCCAGCCACACUGGAACUGAGACACGGUCCAGACUCCUACGGGAGGCAGCAGUGGGGAAUCUUGCACAAUGGGCGAAAGCCUGAUGCAGCGACGCCGCGUGGGGGAUGAAGCUUCUCGGAGUGUAAACCCCUUUCGACCGGGACGAAUACCUCGCAAGAGGGGUGACGGUACCGGUAUAAGAAGCCCCGGCUAACUACGUGCCAGCAGCCGCGGUAAGACGUAGGGGGCCAGCGUUGCUCGGAAUUACUGGGUGUAAAGGGUUCGUAGGCGGUGUGGCAAGUCGGGAGUGAAAUCUCUGGGCUCAACUCAGGGGCUGCUUCCGAAACUGCCGUGCUAGAGUGUGGGAGAGGCGCGUGGAAUUGCAGUGUAGCGGUGAAAUGCGUAGAUAUCUGCAGGAACACCCGUGGCGAAAGCGGCGCGCUGGACCACUACUGACGCUGA